This 64-nucleotide transfer RNA is filed under the name Aporia largeteaui. RNAcentral describes it as "tRNA-Ala". It matches the Rfam family "tRNA". Rfam says of the family: Transfer RNA (tRNA) molecules are approximately 80 nucleotides in length. Their secondary structure includes four short double-helical elements and three loops (D, anti-codon, and T loops). Further hydrogen bonds mediate the characteristic L-shaped molecular structure. tRNAs have two regions of fundamental functional importance: the anti-codon, which is responsible for specific mRNA codon recognition, and the 3' end, to which the tRNAs corresponding amino acid is attached (by aminoacyl-tRNA synthetases). tRNAs cope with the degeneracy of the genetic code in two manners: having more than one tRNA (with a specific anti-codon) for a particular amino acid; and 'wobble' base-pairing, i.e. permitting non-standard base-pairing at the 3rd anti-codon position. The record is from RNAcentral. Lineage: Eukaryota; Metazoa; Arthropoda; Insecta; Lepidoptera; Pieridae.
AGGAAAAUAGUUUAAAAAAACAUUUGAUCUGCAAUCAAAAAAUAUUAAUAAUUAAUUUUUCUUA